CAUUAGGUGGCUGAAAGUAAGCAACGGUCUCUUAAACCGCCCCAUAGUAAAUAACAUAUACUUCUAAUG
RNAcentral lists this transfer RNA (69 nucleotides) under Morphostenophanes yunnanus. RNAcentral describes it as "tRNA-Lys". The record is from RNAcentral. Lineage: Eukaryota; Metazoa; Arthropoda; Insecta; Coleoptera; Tenebrionidae.